UGAAAAGAGAAGAAAGAAAACACAACGUUUUGGCUGUCCACAGUUUAUUACAAGCAUCACGAGACUCACAGCUGCCAGCUCCAAAGUUUUAUGGUGUUGGGAAUUUGAUUCUGGGAGACAGGCCUGGAGCCCAUCUGGGUUCCGCAGCGAUUCCUCGAGACAAUGGAUCACCCGGCUUUGGACCUUGAACUUCGCCCCAUAUUUCCCACCUGGACUCCUUGGAUUUGUCUGCCUUGGCCACGCCCCCCGAGCACCAGUUCACUGUCAUCACGCCCCCCUUCUGUCAACCUGCCCUGAUCCUCAUCAUCUCCUCCCCGUUGUCCUACUCCACUUGCUUCCGGAUUAUAUCUUCUGCAUAGGGUCCUGAACUACUCUUCAUGGGAUCCUGGACCGGCUCCCGUUACAAUAAAUGGAGUGACAUAGCCAUAGGGGCCAACAACCGGGGAACUACAAAUGGCUGUGAUCUGUAAUGCUCUUCAGGCACAUACUAACUGUCGACAGGACACCAUAGCUUGGAAAUAGCUAAGCACUUUGGAAUUUGUUACUCCUUCUUCAACCACAGCAUUUAGAAUAACCACUUCAAGAAACACACUUCAUUGGUGAAACCCAGUUAGUUUUGCUUCUUGUAAGCAUCUAUCAACACCUCUUUGUUGCCACUUCUGGUGAAGAAAAAUAUAACAUUAUGACAAUGUGCAUUACAUACAAAUAAGAAAGAAUUUUUUUUUGCAGGCAUGAAUGCAGGCAAUGCAUUCAUCAGGCCAUAAUUUUUACAUUGGUGCACAUUUGUGCAGAAAGCAAACUCAUAGCCUUCAAACAAUGUUUGGUGCAGGACUAUAAUAACACAAAGAAUAACUCUGAACUUACAGUACCUCUUGCAGAAAGGUUUGUGUUGUCUGUCAGAGUAGCAGGCUAGAAACAGACAAGAGAAAGACUAGUAAACAGUUAUAGUUACAGCGUUAGUGUUUUGAAUCUGCAGCUAAUCUCACUCACCUAUGUCGAAAAACACGUGGCCACAGUAGCCUGUCCUAGGAAACUAUUGGCAUAGGUAGGGAUACACCCUGGACGGAAUGCCAGUCCAUCACAAGGAACACACCGACACAAACACAAAUAACACAUACACCAGGGCCUAUUUCACAGAAGCCAAUUAACCUACCAGCAUGUGUUUUGGACUGUGGGAGGAAACCAUAGUACACGGAAGAAAUCUGAGUGAUCAUGGGGAGAACAUACAAACUCCAUAUGGGUAGCACUCCUGGAAUUGAACCGAGGACCCAAACACCAUGAGGUACUGUAGAAAUGCUAACUGUUGAGCCAGCGUGCUUUCCCCCAGAGUUGCAAUAUUUUCAUAUAUACAGUAAAUGUUUUCAAGGAUGUCUAAAAAAACACAAAUGGGGCAUUUGCGAGGAAAGAAUGGCUGUUCUUUGUAUAUUGCUAUUGCUGUUUUGGGAAUUUGUAUGUAAAAGAGCUGUACGUCUUUAAAAGGCCUGUGGAAGGUAACAAGAAGGGAGGGGCUUCCAAAAUAAAAGGCAGAGUCCUUAUACUGCUGGUUCAGUUUUUUAUUACUGUAAGAUCAAAAAGAGAGAAAGAAGCUCAGGGCUCCCUUAUGAACAUUUUUCUAAAAAGAGACAAGCUGCUAUCCAGGGACAUUCAGGUUCUCUUUGAGAUUGGUGGAGAGCUUUUUAUUUCUUUGAGUCUCUUUUUGUCAUUGCCUUUGAAUGUUUUCUGGCAGCUAUUCUAUGAAUAAACUACAACUCAAUAUAUACUGUAAAGGUGCUGCUGAGUCUGGCUUUUGUUUUACGUGGAAGCCGGGUAUCUGCUCAGUACAAAGGGGGGCCCUGUUACAUACUGUACAUAGGAGAGCAAAUACUGCCGUAACAAUCUUUAAAGUGAUUUCAACCCAGCAAUUUAAAUGGGUUUGAGUCAUGGAGAGCCAGAGGGUUUCUGGUCCACCUGAGCCUUUCAUUAUUUCCUUGAACUCAUUACUUGCUUAAUUGGACACAUUGAAGUGUUUUUUGUAAGAAGCUAUAGUUGUGAAAAGAUCAAAACCUGCUGGACAGCAGCCCUCAAGGACAGGAGGGCACCCCUUAUUUACUAAGUGCUGGCAGUUUUCCUAGUCCAUCUUCUUCAGUUCCUCUCUUUACCCCAUCUUCUUUCUUCUGACUACACACCUAAAUAGUGUAAGCACUCCAGGUUGCCUCACUGCUGUAUGUGCAUUUCUUCUGAAAUAUUAGGUUUCUUUUUAGGUGCUGUGUAAAUUACAGCUUCUGAGGAACCAGCUGCUUUGCCAGUAAGUAAAGUAGUUAACGGCUGGCCUCAUUAAACUUCUGAACCAGUCUGGUACCAGACCUCACACACAGAGGCAGGCUCUUCAGUACACCCUACUGCUAAGUCCACAGAUUGCCUCAUGUUGCUUGGAGACCCUGAGCAGCACAGGUGGCAUGAGCAUAUUUGCCAGGAGGGAGGGUGAAACAGUGGCAAGGCUGGCAAGAGCACCAUCAAUUGGGAAGAGAAAAUGAUAUGUUAAAGCAGAACUCUUGAGGAUGCCUUCUGAAGGACUGUAAGGUUUAUUAUUGUCAAGGUCACAAAUCAAAGAACAAGUGAACAAGUGGAGCAGAAUGUUUUUUAUUUAUUUAGUGCUUGUUAUUUUUUCUUUCUUUUACUGAAUG
Lepisosteus oculatus (spotted gar) is the source of this 2663-nucleotide non-coding RNA. The record is from RefSeq and is a predicted model, not a curated record. Lineage: Eukaryota; Metazoa; Chordata; Actinopteri; Semionotiformes; Lepisosteidae.